RNAcentral lists this ribosomal RNA (253 nucleotides) under uncultured bacterium. RNAcentral describes it as "partial 16S ribosomal RNA". It matches the Rfam family "Bacterial small subunit ribosomal RNA", at positions 524 to 776 of the family's 1533-position model. RNAcentral also lists the same sequence under 1 other name. The record is from RNAcentral.
GACGAACCGUGCGAACGUUGUUCGGAUUCACUGGGCUUAAAGGGCGCGUAGGCGGGCCUUCAAGUCCGGGGUGAAAUCCUCUCGCUUAACGAGAGAACUGCCCCGGAUACUGAGGGCCUCGAGGGAGGUAGGGGCAUGUGGAACUUCCGGUGGAGCGGUGAAAUGCGUAGAUAUCGGAAGGAACGCCGGUGGCGAAAGCGACGUGCUGGACCUUUUCUGACGCUGAGGCGCGAAAGCCAGGGGAGCAAACGGG